AGAUAGUAGAUCUUUAUCUAUAAGUCUCAGGCAAGGGUAAUGCAUUAGAAAGGGCUACAAGACUCGGGUACACACAACUAAGCCUUAGGGCAGGCUUAUGUUCCCGCAGUAGUAAAAGACCAGUCGAUGCACAGGUAACCCUUGGGCACAACUAACACCAUAGAUGCACAACAAAUGCCAAAUUACACUAGACUAAGCCUCGACCAAGGCUUAGACACAUGCAGUAGUAAAUUUGAAAAAAGUCGCGCUUUCUAAAUAACAAAGGACAUCCUAUUGCAUCGGGAAAAGGAAACUGAGAAUCAAGGAAGAGAUGAUUUUGAAAAGCUAGAAGGAAACCGAGAUCAUUUGGAAAGAUUCCUAUCUUUGCAAAAAGAAAACCCUAAGCUUCUUGGGUUUAAAAGGAGUAAAAAAUUAUAGAAAAGGGGAUCAUCCUGGCCCUCACGCAU
RNAcentral lists this long non-coding RNA (446 nucleotides) under Carica papaya (papaya). RNAcentral's name for it is "long non-coding RNA (CPAP_LNC011860)". The record is from RNAcentral. Lineage: Eukaryota; Viridiplantae; Streptophyta; Magnoliopsida; Brassicales; Caricaceae.